CGGGUCAACGAAGGAAAAAUU
Molecule: microRNA, 21 nt
Filed under: Brachypodium distachyon (stiff brome)
Lineage: Eukaryota; Viridiplantae; Streptophyta; Magnoliopsida; Poales; Poaceae
Description: bdi-miR7773-5p
Source: miRBase by way of RNAcentral